GACGGAGGGUGCUAGCGUUGUUCGGAAUCACUGGGCGUAAAGGGCGCGUAGGCGGCCUUGCAAGUCGGUUGGUGAAAGCCCGGGGCUCAACCCCGGAGGUGCGGCCGAGACUGCAGGGCUGGAGGCCGGAAGAGGAGGGUGGAAUACCCAGUGUAGAGGUGAAAUUCGUAGAUAUUGGGUGGAACACCGGUGGCGAAAGCGGCUCUCUGGUCCGGACCUGACGCUGAGGUGCGAAAGCGUGGGGAGCAAACAGG
RNAcentral lists this ribosomal RNA (254 nucleotides) under uncultured bacterium. Its description in RNAcentral is "partial 16S ribosomal RNA". It matches the Rfam family "Bacterial small subunit ribosomal RNA", at positions 524 to 776 of the family's 1533-position model. The record is from RNAcentral.